This 486-nucleotide ribosomal RNA is filed under the name uncultured bacterium. Its description in RNAcentral is "partial 16S ribosomal RNA". It matches the Rfam family "Bacterial small subunit ribosomal RNA", at positions 30 to 507 of the family's 1533-position model. The record is from RNAcentral.
AUUGAACGCUGGCGGCAUGCCUUACACAUGCAAGUCGAACGGCAGCACGGGUGCUUGCACCUGGUGGCGAGUGGCGAACGGGUGAGUAAUACAUCGGAACAUGUCCUGUAGUGGGGGAUAGCCCGGCGAAAGCCGGAUUAAUACCGCAUACGAUCCACGGAUGAAAGCGGGGGACCUUCGGGCCUCGCGCUAUAGGGUUGGCCGAUGGCUGAUUAGCUAGUUGGUGGGGUAAAGGCCUACCAAGGCGACGAUCAGUAGCUGGUCUGCGAGGACGACCAGCCACACUGGGACUGAGCCACGGCCCAGACUCCUACGGGAGGCAGCAGUGGGGAAGUUUGGACAAUGGGCGAAAGCCUGAUCCAGCAAUGCCGCGUGUGUGAAGAAGGCCUUCGGGUUGUAAAGCACUUUUGUCCGGAAAGAAAUCCUUGACUCUAAUACAGUCGGGGGAUGACGGUACCGGAAGAAUAAGCACCGGCUAACUACGUG